GGCUGGAGGAGGCUUGCACCGGGCUGGGGCAGAGUGAGCAAGGGAGACUGCGGUAGAGAGGAGCCAGAUUGCUGUCUUCAAGAAGAAUUUUAUACUGCUGUCAUGAGAAAAUCGCUUACGGUUCCUUCAGAUGUCAAGAUUCUGUCAUUUCUGCAGAUGUGGCCCAUUGUGAUUCAGGAUCUGAGCGUUCUCUGUAUAAUAGUUUUUACUUGGUUCUUCAUGAAGACGAUGCAUCGUGCUUCUUUUGAGAACCAUGAGGAUCAUUCCCAAAUAAUUCAAAGAAGGAUUGUUUAUUUUAACUUGUGCUAGUUAUUAAAAUUCAUUUUAUGUGUAUGAAAUCAUAUAGGUAUCAGCAUGGAAAAUAAAGCUAUUUUCUUUUACCUCAGUCAAAACCA
Long non-coding RNA from Felis catus (domestic cat), 395 nucleotides. RefSeq lists it as uncharacterized. The transcript has 3 exons. NCBI's taxonomy places the organism in Eukaryota, Metazoa, Chordata, Mammalia, Carnivora, Felidae. The record is from RefSeq and is a predicted model, not a curated record.